UGCAGCCUACGGGGGGCAGCAGUCGAGAAUCAUUCACAAUGGGGGAAACCCUGAUGGUGCGACGCCGCGUGGGGGAAUGAAGGUCUUCGGAUUGUAAACCCCUGUCAUGUGGGAGCAAAUUAAAAAGAUAGUACCACAAGAGGAAGAGACGGCUAACUCUGUGCCAGCCGCCGCGGUAAUACAGAGGUCUCAAGCGUUGUUCGUCAUAACUGUGCGUAAAGCGUGCGUCGGCUGUUUCGUAAGUCGUGUGUG
This 252-nucleotide ribosomal RNA is filed under the name uncultured bacterium. RNAcentral describes it as "partial 16S ribosomal RNA". It matches the Rfam family "Bacterial small subunit ribosomal RNA", at positions 333 to 596 of the family's 1533-position model. The record is from RNAcentral.